Molecule: ribosomal RNA, 253 nt
Filed under: uncultured bacterium
Lineage: Bacteria
Description: partial 16S ribosomal RNA
Rfam family: Bacterial small subunit ribosomal RNA
Source: RNAcentral
UACGUAGGUGGCAAGCGUUAUUCGGAAUUAUUGGGCGUAAAGGGCGCGUAGGCGGCAAGGCAAGUGGAAGGUGAAAUCCCUCGGCUCAACUGAGGAACUGCCUUCCAAACUGCCCUGCUUGAGUCCGGGAGAGGUGAGUGGAAUUCCCAGUGUAGCGGUGAAAUGCGUAGAUAUUGGGAGGAACACCAGUGGCGAAGGCGGCUCACUGGACCGGAACUGACGCUGAGGCGCGAAAGCGUGGGGAGCAAACGGG